Molecule: long non-coding RNA, 246 nt
Filed under: Homo sapiens (human)
Lineage: Eukaryota; Metazoa; Chordata; Mammalia; Primates; Hominidae
Description: non-protein coding lnc-RASGRP3-10:1
Source: RNAcentral
CAUGGCAUAUCAGGGCCUCACCAUACGUCUCAUUGCAAUGAGCGUGUUUUAGGGCUUCACUGGUUUCUUCAUGCCUUGGUUCAUCCCUAAGGGUCCUAAGUAGGGAGUUAUCAUUACCAUGUAGGUGACCUGUUCAGUUUGUUGCUGUCUCUUUUGGCUGAUUGCAAUCCUGGCCAACUCAACCCUCUCUUCAGACUGCAGUUGAAACAUGAAAUCAUCUGGUAUCCGAAGUGUCAUUGGCCUUGA